UACGUAGGGUGCAAGCGUUAAUCGGAAUUACUGGGCGUAAAGCGUGCGCAGGCGGUGAUGUAAGACAGAUGUGAAAUCCCCGGGCUCAACCUGGGAACUGCAUCCGAGACUGCAUUGCUAGAGUAUGGGAGAGGGAAGCGGAAUUUCUGGUGUAGCAGUGAAAUGCGUAGAUAUCAGAAGGAACAUCAGUGGCGAAGGCGGCUUCCUGGACCAAUACUGACGAUCAGGUGCGAAAGCGUGGGGAGCAAACAGG
Molecule: ribosomal RNA, 253 nt
Filed under: uncultured bacterium
Lineage: Bacteria
Description: partial 16S ribosomal RNA
Rfam family: Bacterial small subunit ribosomal RNA
Source: RNAcentral